This is a transfer RNA of Runella slithyformis DSM 19594, 74 nucleotides long. It matches the Rfam family "tRNA". Rfam says of the family: Transfer RNA (tRNA) molecules are approximately 80 nucleotides in length. Their secondary structure includes four short double-helical elements and three loops (D, anti-codon, and T loops). The record is from Rfam. NCBI's taxonomy places the organism in Bacteria, Pseudomonadati, Bacteroidota, Cytophagia, Cytophagales, Spirosomataceae.
GGGCUUGUAGCUCAGGUGGUUAGAGCGCUACACUGAUAAUGUAGAGGUCCCAGGUUCGAGUCCUGGCAGGCCCA